GCCGCCUCCCAUGCCACAGCCACCUCCCGUCGAUCGUACCCAAAUCCUCUGCGCGUGGUGGGAUUCCCUCAUGAGCCAUCGGUGUGCCGUUGCGCCGCCGUCGUUUGUCGCCAUCUUCACAUCGCCGCACCCGUUCCUUCCCAAAUCCUUCCUCGGGUGACCUAGGCAACCCCUAAGGUGAGAUGCCGCUGCCACAUCCCUUCCCUCUGGAUCGCAGUCCCUCUAAGCAGCAUCAUCCAUCCCCUUGACUCUCGCAUAGCGGUCAUUCCGGCGCCUUCCGAUCUCCCUAUUCUGUAGCGCAAAUUUAGGUUGUUGCGGGUGUUCAUGUGGCAGCAGCUUGUUUGGGCUACGAUUCUCAGGGGUGAUCCAGCUCAUCCCGGUGACACAGUGACGCGUAUGUGGGUGUUAGUCCCAGCCUCCCAGGUUUUGUCGGUUCUGGUGAGGAGAAUUUGCGUAAGGAGAUUGGGGUAGGAUUUGGGGAUGAGUACUCUUUGGGAACAUCGGUUGCUGAAUCUCAUGUCGUAGUUCACGGUGUUAGAUUUGCAGCUGGAGAAGAAACACGGCCGUGACCUUGUGCAAAUAUUCUAUAUGUCCAUGGAGCAGUAGAAAGGAAAACUACUUUUCUUUAACAUUAUAAAUAUAUUUUUAUCAUGGAUGUGGGAUUUCAUGUUUUAAGCAGGAACUCAUGUUUGACUACUCGCUGGUAGAUUGUCGGAUUUCAUGUAAGAUCCAUAGUAUACAAUGUGCAGGAAUUUAUGUUUUGUACUAACCUGAUGUUGUUGACGUAGUAGAGUACGACAAUCUCAGUUGAUUUCAAGGAAAGUGGCAGCGACUACCAUGAAUAGACAUCAUGUCCAGUGGCGACGCCACAAGAAUCACGUGUGUGCUUCAAUUCAAGACAAUGUCACCCUUUUACACUACGUCCACGUUGGUCAUGCCUACCCUUGAGGUACAACUCUCCUCUCCCUUACACAAUAUGACUAGGCUGGCGAUAAGGGUCAUGGCUUCAGAUCAAUAAGACAUGGCUUAGCCCUAACGUAAUACAAGGUGCCGACACAGACUGCAGAUACACUAUGAAAAUAUCAAAAUGUUGACUCGUAUGAGUUUCAUAGUAUAUGUAAUUAUGUACAUUGUAUUUGUGGAUCAAUAUUGUGUAAAAUAGAUGGGCGCGGCAACGCGCGCCAUCAAUGAUCUAGUUUCAUGGUAUAAGGUGUGUCGUCCUAAGUAACUUGGAGGCCUAGGCAUCAUUGAUCUUAGGAAGGAAGGGAUCGCGUUGCAAUUACGCUAGGCUUGGCUGCAACGCGCUGCUGAUACGAGACCAUGGAAGAGACUUCCCCUCGCCAUCGAUUCAUAUGUUCAAGGGACUUUCAACAGCCUUGUGCGUUGGCAUGUGGGAUCGGUCGACCACAUCGUUUUUCGGAAGGAUCGAUGGCUCGACGGUGCUACUAUCCUGAGAUCGCACCAAUUGUGGUUGCUCAUAUAAAAGCUCAAACGAUCAACCAUCGCAAGUCACUGAUGGUUUGCACUUGAACCAAUGGUUGUCCGACAUCAGAGGUGAGUUAUCCACUCAAGGAAUGGUGGGACGCCCUAUUGUCAGUGGAUCUAUUUGCUGGGCAUGAUGAUCAAGCAAUCUGGAAGUGGAACGAACAAGGAAUCUACACAUUGGCGUUGGCCUAUCAAUGCUUUUCCAUUGUGGUGUGGUUGUUGAGGGAGUCCUGGAUUUGGGGGUCCUCGAAUGUCUGGCCUAUCCAAUAUGGGCCGGACUGGUGGGCCGUGAUAAAGUGGAAGACCACCCCCCGUGUCCGGGUAGGACUCAUGUGUGCGUGGGUAGCAAGAUUGGUGUCCGGAUAUGCUCUUUCCUUCUCCUAUAAACCGACUUGGUGUAACCCUAGGCCCCUCCGGUGUGUAUAUAAACCGAAGGGUUUAGUCCGUAGAGGCUAUCAUAAUAUUCAUAGGCUAGACAAUUAGGGUUUAGCCAUUACAAUCUCGAGAUAGAUCAACUCUUGUAACCCCUAUAUUCAUCGAAUAUAGUCAAGCAGGACGUAGGGUUUUACCUCCUUAAAGAGGACCCGAACCUGGGUAAACAUUGUGUCCCUUUGUCCAUUGUUACCAUUGAUCCUUAUAUGCACAGCUUGGGCCCCUUACCCGAGAUCUGUCGGUUUUAACACCGACAUUGGUGCUUUCAUUGAGAGCCCUGUUGUGCAGUCCUGAAAAAGCGAUCUAUGGUUCGCCUAGUCAUCAACGACAACAUCACCUCUGGAAGGAGCCUAACUUCUGGGCAGAUCCUCCAGCUCGGCGGUUUCAUCAUAGGUGCCCGUAUCGCCAUCAAGACAAUAGCGCCCCCCUACGAUCGUCGAACACCGUCUCCUCAUCGGUCUCGAGUACUCCGAAAAGAUGGAUCCGGCAGACAUCUCGUCCUUAAACGAGCUGCUAGAUCGCAUCGCCGCCCUUGGGGCUUCAACGAAUUAUGGUUGGAUUGGGCUUAAACCUGACAAGAGGGAAAUCAAUCACCCACCGAUCACACACCUGGUAGCGGUCAUCGAGGAAUGAGCCGAUGACAUCUCUCUCCCUAUGUUGAGAACCAAAAAUGUUCGGGUCUCCGAACCCCUCGAGUCAGAUACCCUCCCUUCGGAUGGGACUCCGCGUCCCCCGAACUCUAGAUCAGACGUAGGAUUGGGGGAGCACUUGGAUCUCCCCGGGCCCGAAUCGGUCACCUCAGAGAUUUUGCAAGCUCUGAACAUAGAUGUGGGUCGGGAUUCAAAUUUUAGCCCACCCACCCACCACAAUCAAUACUCUCCAAGCAAUUCAGGCCCUCCAGACAUAUAUGACCUGAUGUAUGUACGACAGCAACCUCAGGAAACGGUCCAUCACUUUUGGGCCAGAUUCCUACUUGUUAAAAACAAGAUCAAAGAUUGCUGCGACGACGAUGUAAUCUCGGUCUUCCAUCGCAAUUGUACCGACGAGGGAAUCCAGAAUGCCCUCGACCAUCGUCACAUAUAGAGCUUCAUGGAACUAUCACAAGUGGUACAAAAGUACUGCGCGAUGGAAAGCACAUGGAAGGCCCAGAAAACUCAACUAGAGCUUGUUGCCUUUAAGCAGUGUGCGGCCCGGGCUAAACGGAUACACCCUAGCGAGGCAUCCGACUGUCAGUCCGUUGGCAGAAAAAACAAACCCUUUACAGGACACAGGUCCGUUCUUGACGAACUCUUUGACAAUCCCCGUCCGAUACAUGCGACUCCAAGUAUAGACUCAACCCAUAGUCUUCGCGCAUGUUGGGUACUCAGGCAGGUAGCAAAAAGCGGGGAGGUCAUCCUCGCCACCAUCACUCUAGGGAAAUACUCUCCGAAGAGGGACAAUUUUAACGUCCUCACGGUCUUCGAGACCUUUUCUUCAAAUAAUCGGUGAAAAAGGGCACUCCAUGACCUCGCCGAAGUCCACCAAGUAACCGCACUGAGCCCGUGGAACAAGGCGGCAAUAACCUUCACUGCCAAAGACGAACCAAAGGCCCGGUCAGUCCGAGCACCCACCACCCUAGUACUAAACCCCAUUGUGGACGGUUUUCGACUUACCAAAGUGCUCAUGGACGGCGACAGUGGGCUUAACCUCAUCUACGAGGACACGCUCGACAAAAUGCAGAUUGACAGAACACGCAUCGAGCAAAGCAGCACCACCUUUCAAGGAAUCAUUCCCAGUCAAGAAGCAUGAUGCUUUGGGAAAAUUAAAUUGGAUGUGGUAUUUGGCAUGCUCGAAAAUUACAGGUCCAAAGAGUUGCUCUUCCAUGUGGUCCCCUUUAACAGUGGCUAUCACGCUAUCCUCGGACGGGACACUUUCUCACAUUUCCAAGCUAUACCCCAUUACGGGCAUAUGAAGCUUAAAAUGCCAGGGCCUAAUGGAAUAAUCACAAUUUCGAGUGACCUGGACAAAGUGCUCCGAGCCGAAAACAAAACUGCAUCCUUAGCCCUCGAGGCACUAUCCGAAGCCUGAGCGGCAGAAGAACUUACCACCCUACGAUCAACGGGGGAUAGAGACGAUGUGAUUCUCGAUAAGAGACCUAAAUCCACCUCUUUCAAGCCAGUAGACGAAAUAGUUAAAUUUCAACUGCACAUGACGGACCCUAGUAAAACAGCGUCCAUCGGAGCGCAACUGGAUCUGGCAGUAGACGUCGCCUUACGCACAUUCUUACGCGAAAAUUUGGAUAUCUUCGCCUGGCACCCUUCGGACAUGCCCGGGAUCCCAUGCAGGCUGGCCGAACACAGCCUAAACAUCAUUAAGGGGUUUAAACCCGUCAAGCAGACAUUGCGGCGAUUUUCCGAACCCAAACGUCAAGCCAUGGGGGAAGAGCUGGCCAAACUGUUAGAAGCCGGGUUCAUCAGGCAAAUCAAACACCCGGAUUGGCUAGCCAACUUGGUCAUGGUGCCAAAGAAGGACAAAUCCUGGCGCCUUCCUGUCGAUUUCAAAGACCUCAAUAAGCUUGCCCCAAAGAUCCUUUCCCGUUACCCCGCGUUGAUAAAAUCAUCGAUGCGACCGCAAGGCAUGACUCAUUGUGUUUCCUCGACGCUUAUUUCGGAUACCAUUAGAUCAAAAAGAAGGAAUCCGACCAGGCCGCCACGGUGUUCAUCACCCCAUAUGGCCCUUUCUGCUUCAACACCAUGUUCUUUGGGCUCAAAAACGCUGGUGCCACUUACCAACUUAUGAUUCAAACAUGCUUUGGAAAACAAAUCGGCAAAAUAGUCGAAGCAUAUGUGGACGACGUGGUCAUCAAAACCAAACAUGUCGAAACACUGGUGGACGACCUUCGCCUCACCUUCGACAACUUCCGAGCAUAAGACAUACGACUCAAUCCAAAAAAAUGUGUCUUCGGAGUUCCAGCCGGAAAGCUACUAGGGUUCAUCGUUUCCCAUAGAGGAAUUGAACCAAAUCUAGCUAAAAUCCUAGCCUUGUCACAAUUGGCUAUACCAACAGACCUAAAGCAAGUCCAAAAACUAGUAGGGUGCAUGGCGGCUUUAAGCCGCUUUAUCUCCAGAUUAGGAGAGAAAGCAUUACCACUUUACAUGCUACUUAGAUGCACUGAUAGCUUUGAAUGGACGGACGCUGCCACAGCCGGAUUGGAAGAAAUCAAAGCCUUACUAGCAGGCAACCCAAUCCUGGCUGCCCCAGGUGUUGGUGAGCCCAUGUUGCUUUAUAUCUCCGCAACUCACCAGGUAGUAAGUGCUGUACUCGUCGUCGAGCGAGGGGAAGAGGGACAUAAAUUACCCAUCCAAAAGCCAGUUUACUACAUAUCGGAGGUCCUCACACCAUGCAAAUCCCGAUACCCCCACUAUCAAAAGAUAGCUUAUACGGUCUUUAUGGCAUCUCAAAAACUACGACACUAUUUUCAAGAGUGUUCGAUCACAGUGGCAUCUGAAGUACCACUUAACGACAUUAUCAACAACAGGGAUACCACUGGCCGCAUAGCCAAAUGGGCCAUCGAACUCCUACCGUUCGAAAUAACAUACAAGCCAUGUCGGGCUAUUAAAUCUCAGGUGUUGUCUGACUUCAUCGCUGAAUGGACGGAAGCCGAACUCCCUAAAGAGUAUAGUUCAUACUCCAACUGGACUAUGUACUUUGACGGCUCUAAAAUGCUAGCCGGACUGGGGGCUGGCGUCAUCUUGACACACCACCGGGGACACAAUCUGCUACAUGUUACAAAUCAUGUAUACGGACUCCAAUAAUGCAGCCGAAUACGAGGCACUUCUACACGGUCUUCACAUGGCUGUCUCCACGGGUGUACAAUGCCUCGAGGUGCGCGGAGAUUCUAACCUCGCAAUAUCCUAGGUCAAUGGAGAGUUCGAUGCAAAAGAUCCAAAAAUGGCGGCAUAUCGAAAUGUCGUAUUAAAAAUAUCAACUCGGUUCGAGGGACUUGAAUUCCAUCAUGUCGCUCGAGACAGUAACCAGGCAUAAUAAGGAUCAACGUGAUGAUUGUCGAUGUCAAAACCGGCGGAUCUCGGGUAGGGGGUCCCGAUCUGUGCGUCUAAGGCUGAUGGUAACAGGAGGCAAGGGACACAAUGUUUUACCCAGGUUCAGGCCCUCUCGAUGGAGGUAAAACCCUACUUCCUGCUUGAUUGAUAUUGAUGAUAUGGGUAUUACAAGAGUUGAUCUACCACGAGAUCGUAGAGGCUAAACCCUAGAAGCUAGCCUAUGAUGAUUAUGAUUGUGAUCAUCCCUCUAAGGACUAAACCCUCCGGUUUAUAUAGACACCGGAGGGGGCUAGGGUUUACAUGGAGUCGGUUACAAAGAAGGAAAUAUAAUAUCCGGAUCGCCAAGCUUGUCUUCCACGCAAAGGAGAGUCCCAUCCGGACAUGGGACGGAGUCUUGAGUCUUGUAUCUUCACGGUCCAACAGUCCGGCCAAAGCAUAUAAUCCGGCUGUCCGGAUACCCCCUAAUCCAGGACUCCCUCAGUAGCCCCUGAACCAGGCUUCAAUGACGCAGUUCUGUCUUUGGCUUUGCAAGGCGGGUUCCAUCUCCGAAUACUCCAAAGUAAUUACCGAACACCUAAACCAUGUCCGAAUCUGCAAGAUGAUCUUCGCAUACCGCUGUAGCAUAGCACUUCAUAAAUUUGAUCCGCUGGCAAUUUUUGCACGGCGUGCUCCUGCAUCAUGGCCCGGCCCAACAUGAACCGGUUUUCCUUAGCCUGCUUCGAUACGCGUUGCGAGGCGGUUUUAUUGGCUCGUCCUGACAAAGCAGAGAUCAUGUUCCCCUUAUCGUGGGAUCUUCCAUCGAUACGGGCGUGCGCAGCCCCACGAUGACUGUUGGUAUGACUCCAUGUUUUUAGGUAAGUCCCAAGCGGUUACGCUGAGGAUGCUUGAUAUUCAUCCGCCUUAAAAAGGGGCCGAGGCCUAUCCCUCUUUUCCACCACCCUUGCGCCUUUUCGCAUCUCGAGUUCUAACACCGAAACCCAAGCUCAAGCACCCCUGAUCCUCUACUAUGUUUGGAUCGAACCCUCAAGGCCAGUGGGUGGCUGCCCCCGACUUCCGUCCGGGCCCUCCUUCUCAACUGGCGUCAUGGACCAAUGUAGAAGGGAUUGGGGAUCUGCUAGUGAUGUACCAUUAUCGCAGAGCCGUAUUCGGGAGCCUCUUGAGAGGGACAUUAGCCUUGUCAGCAUAAUUCAGGUAAUGCUAAUCCGAUGGAUGUUGCCGUGCAAACGCCGUUCUCUCCGAAUGUGGGAGUUUAAUCCGGAAGGUCCGCGAACUAUUCUGCACUUCGUGGGCCUAACGCUCGAAGGGAUGUGUAAACUAUUCUUCAGACCACAAGUAAAGUAUCCAAACCAGCGAGGAUGCGGGCCUGAGCUGCAAUCGCCCAGAUACCCAAGUAAGUAACCCAGAAACCAAACAUUUCGUCUAUUUUUAUCAUAGACAUUAUUCUGAAAGUUCUCCAUGGCCAGGAGUGGCUUAGCAAGGCGGAGAAAAUCAGGUGUCCGGCGCCACUUCCUGAAGGCUCGCUAAGUCCCACCAUAGCCAAGAUGCUUGGUGGUGUGCUAAGCAAAAUGCCGUAAGGGAAAGACGAAGGGAAGAACUGGGAAGCGGAACUUCACACGUUGCGCAUCCAAACCGGGGAAAUUGCCAUCUCCCUAAAGGAUGAUAGCCGGGAAGGGGAAUCUAUAGCCUCCUCCCCUCGUGGGAAGAAGAGGGCCGCCUCCGAAGACUUGGAGAUGGAGGUGCCCAAACAGGGGAAGAAAGCUUCACCAGGGGGCCCUGCCUCGAAGGGCGUCCUCACCGCGUCAUGCCCGCUGAGGAAGUCCUGGAUUAGGGGGUGUACGGAUAGCCAAACUAUCACCUUUGGCCGGACUCCUGGACUAUGAAGAUACAAGAUUGAAGACUUCGUCCCGUGUCCGGAUGGGACUUUCCUUGGUGUGGAAGGCAAGCUUGGCGAUACGGAUAUGUAGAUCUCCUACCCUUGUAACCGACUCUGUGUAACCCUAACCCUCUUCGGUGCCUAUAUAAACCGGAGGGUUUUAGUUCGUAGGACGAACAACAAUCAUACCAUAGGCUAGCUUCUAGGGUUUAGCCUCUCUGAUCUCGUGGUAGAUCUAGUCUUGUACUACCCAUAUCAUCAAUAUUAAUCAAGCAGGAGUAGGGUUUUACCUCCAUCGAGAGGGCCCGAACCUGGGUAAAAACAUGGUGUCCCUUGUCUCCUGUUACCAUCCGCCUAGACGCACAAUUCGAGACCCCCUACCCGAGAUCCGCCGGUUUUGACAUCGACAUUGGUGCUUUCAUUGAGAGUUCCUCUGUGUCGUCAUCCUUAGGCCCGAUGGCUCCUCCGAUCAUCAACAACGAUGCGGUCCAGGGUGAGACUUUUCUCCCCGGACAGAUCUUCGUAUUCGGCAGCUUUGCACUGCGGGACAAUUCGCUUGGCCGUCUGGAGCAGAUUGAAAGCUACGCCCCUGGCCAUCAGGUCAGAUUUGGAAGUUUGAACUAUACGACUGACGUCCAUGGAGAAUUGAUCUUCGACGGGUUCGAGCCACAGCCAAGCGCGCCGCACUGUCACGAUGGGCACGAUCUAGCUCUGCCGCCGGACAGUGCCCUGGAGGCCGCACAAGUGUCCGCUCCGACCCUUAGCUCGGAGCCGACUGCGCCGACCGAGGACGGGUGGUUGGACACCGCCUCAGGGGCUGCUAUCUCUACGGCGAUGGAGCCGAAUACUAUCCCUGUCCUUUGCAAGGCUCGUAACUCCAAGGUACCGGACUCCUCUCCGGACUCCGGACCUUCCGCGCCCCUGCCAAUCAAACCCGAUUGGCCGCCGGUCAUGGAGUUCACCACUGCGGACAUCUUUCAGCACUCGCCCUUUGGCGACAUCCUGAAUUCACUAAAGCCUCUCUCUUUAUCAGGAGAGCCCUGGUCGGACUAUGGUCAGGAAGGCUGGGAUAUGGACGACGAAGAAAUUCAAAACCCACCCACCACCCACUUCGUAGCCACUGUCGAUGAUUUAACCGACAUGCUCGACUUCGACUCCAAAGACAUCGACGGUAUGGACGACGAUGCAAGAGACGACCAAGAACCAGUGCCUACAGGGCACUGGAAGGCCACAAAUACAACGUACGCUCCGCGAAGAGGACGAGGCGCAGGUCGACUCCUGCCUUCUCCUUCCGAGCUACGCCACAAAUACAACAUGCGCUCCACGAGGAGGACGAAGCACAGGUCGACUGCUACCUUCCCCUCCAAAACUAUGCCACGAAAAUCCUACCAAGUGGAGAGCAAACCUCCCACUCGGGGGCUUAGCUGCAGCCCAGUGCUCGCCUAAGUUUCAAAAAUCCUACCGAGUGGAGAGCAAACCUCCCACUCGGGGGCUUAGCUGCAGCCCAGUGCUCGCCUAAGUUUCUAAAAUCCUACCGAGUGGAGAGCAAACCUCCCACUCGGGGGCUUAGCUGCAGCCCAGUGCUCGCCUAAGUUUCUAAAAUCCUACCGAGUAGAGAGCAAACCUCCCACUCGGGGGCUUAGCUGCAGCCCAGUGCUCGCCUAAGUUUCUAAAAUCCUACCGAGNNNNNNNNNNNNNNNNNNNNNNNNNNNNNNNNNNNNNNNNNNNNNNNNNNNNNNNNNNNNNNNNNNNNNNNNNNNNNNNNNNNNNNNNNNNNNNNNNNNNNNNNNNNNNNNNNNNNNNNNNNNNNNNNNNNNNNNNNNNNNNNNNNNNNNNNNNNNNNNNNNNNNNNNNNNNNNNNNNNNNNNNNNNNNNNNNNNNNNNNNNNNNNNNNNNNNNNNNNNNNNNNNNNNNNNNNNNNNNNNNNNNNNNNNNNNNNNNNNNNNNNNNNNNNNNNNNNNNNNNNNNNNNNNNNNNNNNNNNNNNNNNNNNNNNNNNNNNNNNNNNNNNNNNNNNNNNNNNNNNNNNNNNNNNNNUGCUACCUUCCCCUCCAAAACUAUGCCACGAAAAUCCUACCAAGUGGAGAGCAAACCUCCCACUCGGGGGCUUAGCUGCAGCCCAGUGCUCGCCUAAGUUUCAAAAAUCCUACCGAGUGGAGAGCAAACCUCCCACUCGGGGGCUUAGCUGCAGCCCAGUGCUCGCCUAAGUUUCUAAAAUCCUACCGAGUAGAGAGCAAACCUCCCACUCGGGGGCUUAGCUGCAGCCCAGUGCUCGCCUAAGUUUCUAAAAUCCUACCGAGUGAAGAGCAAACUCUCACUCGGGGGCUUAGCUACAGCCUAGUGCUCGCCUAAGUUUCAAAAAUCCUGUCGAGUGGAGAACAAAUCUCCCACUCAAGAGGCUUAGCUGCAGCCCAGCACUCGCCUAAACAUGACGAGUACAAGUCGAUUGCAAUUUGUGCUUCGUCCCUACCUGCAAAAGAGCAUCACAGACACUAGUAUAUAUUCCAACCCAAGAAAGAUGGUUGCUCGAAAGCAGAAGCAAACAUAUUUCAGCGGCAAACCAAGUUCAGAUAACGUCCUACGGAUCCAGAAGUGCUCAGGCACCAAGCCUGUUAAGGUUUAUCGGUUACAAAAAUCACUCGGCAUUUCGAGGCAAAUUCACAGCAUCAAGCAUAGAAGUUUUUUACCCCUCCUGCGGAGGGCUGGAAGGCGCAACAAACUCGUCCAGAUCGAUCCCGUCUGUGAUCCGAGUGGCGGCAGCAAUGAAGGUCUCCAUGAAAGAACGGAAGUCAUGCUUCCUGGUAUUGGCCACCUUGAGAGACACCUUGUCUUCUCUCGCUUCCUUGCAGUGGACGCGGACUAAGGACAGAGCAACGUUGACACCACACCUGGCAGAAGACUUCUUCCAUUCUUGCACUCGACUUGGAACUUCGUUCAGUCGAGUCAUCAGAGACUCGAGGUCGUUCUGAAGUGUUUCUUCUGACCAGAGUGAUGUAUCGAUGCGCGACGUUGCAACCUUCAGUCUUGCAAGGUAGUCGACCACUGCAGCAAUGCGAGACUCAAGGCGGAGCACGUUCAUAGCGGCUUCAUCUUUCACUGGAGAGUUGAUGGGGUCCAAGCCAGUCUCCACUCGACUAGUCUCUUCUUCAAAGUUUUGGCAGAAUUCUGUGGACACGAUUCAAGGAUAAGCUAAUGUUCCUAUAGUAAGUCAGUAAUUACCAGUCGGAUAUAAGGGGUUACCUUCAAGCAUCAGGAACAGCUUCUUGGCGAGUCCUCCCAGAUAAACCUCCAAGUCAUUCUUCUUUCCCGCCAGUUCGCCAGCUUUGUCACUCAUGACCAUCUUGUCAUUCUUUAGUCGAGUGACCUCCUGGUUGGCCACGUCGAGAGCAGCUUUCUGAUUAGUGUUUUCCUCUUCAAGUUUGUUGACCGAAGCCAACUUCUCUUCUGCAAGUUUGGUUUUGUCCGAAGCCGCUUUUUGCGCCUCGGCGAGGUCAAGGUCCUUCUUCUUCAGAGCAUCCCUCAGUUUAUCUGCAAAAUCACAAUAAGAUCAGACUCGGAGAAAGGCAAGAAGCAAAGACAGUCGUCAAGAUUCUCACCAAACAUACCUUUUGCCCCCUCCUUCGCCUUCGUGAAGUUCUCCUGGACAAGCUUCAGAUCAAGUUCGAGCUGGAUAUGCUUGUUCUCCAACUCGGUAUAACGAGAAACAAGGUCACAAGAUUUCUGCGAAAGAUCAGUCGACAGUCAUCAAAGACAGAUCACUUCCGAGUGACUAAAGAAAAAAAAUUGUAGUGUUUCUAAGACUACAGCUGAAUCUAAACAUUCAACUGUAGUCUCAGGGAGUACACCCAGUGGGUGCACUCAGCGUGCCCCCACUAGUUCUAUCAGCUAGAACCAGAGUCGAUCAGUCGACCGGAAACAGCUAACUGUCAGUAGUUAGACACAAAAAAAUGAAGAAUUAUUCAGACCAUAGCCGACUGCCAGCAGUCGACCACGGUCUCGGGGACUACACCCAGUGGGCGCACUCAGCGUGCCCCCACCGGUUCCAUGAUUCCACUCGACCAUUUCGAGUGAAACAAGUAAAAAUGAGAAAGUUCAAGGCUUAAAGACUACAGUCGUCUGCAAGCAGUCCACCGUAGUCUCGGGGACUACACCCAAUGGGUGCACUCAGCGUGCCCCCACUAAUACAGACAUUCCAAUCGACACACCCAGCGGGUGCAUGACAAACACUAAGAUUUUCAGUCGGUGUUCAACUAACCUGGACAUUGCUCUGAAGAGCUGAACUCGCGUCGUAAGCUGCUUGGCUGGUGACUCGGAUCGCCUUCACCUGCUCCAUCAUGAUCCCCGCUUGGCGUAUGGCUUCCUUGGCAGCGCCUGCCUAGUCCUCCGGGACGUGGUAUGUGGAGAAGAGAGAAGGUGGAUCAGCACUCGACGACGGAGGACGGGCACUUGUCAACGGAUCCGCAAAAGACACAGUAGCCCGAGCAACAUUGCUCCCCUCCGGAACCAAUGGUUCAGGUGCUGACGCAACCUGAGCAGUCUUGCCAGCAGUCGACUUCCUGCUCCUCCUUUGCCUCAGCGGCGCUUCAUCGUCAUCGUCAGGGAGAUCGAUGAUAAUGCUAGGUGGAGCUGCAGAAAAGGUUCAAAGUCAAAAAUAAAGAUCCAAUCGACCGAAAGCGAAACUGCGCAGAUCAUACCAGGAUGAGAAGUAGCAGCAUCUUCCAUUUCUUGAUCCUAAUGCCUGGCUGAAGUUUCAGAAGUAGCAUCACUGCAAUUUCAAAAAUCAGUCGGUCAUCGAUCGAGUCGACAAAGAAUAUAUCCAUGAUAAAAGGAAAAAACAUGAGUUAUGCUGUUACCCAGAAAUAGUCGGGAUCUCCAUCCUCAUCUUCGGUAGGGCCUUCCCUGGCUUUGUCGGGGCCGCUCGGGGUUUCUUUGACGCGUUCUCAGUUGGCGCCGGUGAAGUCGUCCGAGGGCGUUUUGUCGAUUGCCCAGCAGGCACGACUCCCUUGCCGCGUUCGACCGCAGGGUCGUGGGCGAGCUUGGACCUUCUUUCAGAACGGGGAGGCACAACUUCCUCCUCCUCUUCCUCCUCCUCCUCCUCAUCGGAGUCUGCAUCUUCAUCAUCUUCGUCGCUGACCGACUCCCACUCCUCUUGACUUUCGCCUCCGCUCCCUUCCUCCUCCUCGGUCUGUGCUUGCGCCUCGUUGGGCAUCGAAUACAACUCAGUGGUGGCCUGAAAGACAACAAACAAGACAAAAGUCGAUCGACUGAUCUAUAUCAAAACAGAAUGGACGAAACAUGAUUACAAUCGGAGAUAAGUGGUCAUACCUUGUCUGGCUCAUAAGAUUGGCCGAGUGGCGGGAUCCUCCUGGCUCCAUGAGGGUUGUCCUUGUUCCCUGUAAUGGCAGUCAUCCACCUCUCUAGUGUGACAUCGUCGACUUCUUUUGGGUGGACCCGAGUGGUGUCUUCAGUACCAGAGUACAACCACAUUGGGUGACCCCGGUACUGGAGUGGCUGGAUACGUCGUUGAUGGAAAACCUCCAGAAGAUCCAUGCCAGUCACGCCAUCGCGAAUGAGUUGGACUACCCGCUCCAUCAGCAUUUUAACCUGAGCCUUCUCCUCUGGAAUCACUUUCAGAGAAGAUGGCUUGUUCACUCGACUCAUGGUGAAGGGAGGGAGCCCAGUCGACUGCCCUGGCGUCGACCGGUCUUGGCAGUAGAACCAGGUCGACUGCCACCCUCUAACUGACUCGGGAAGGGUCAUAGCUGGAAAGGCACUCUUACUCCUCAUCUGGACCCCAAGACCCCCACACAUCUGGAUUACUUGGGUUCUCUCGUCAUUCGGAUUGGCCUUCUUGACCGUCUGAGAGCGGCAAGUGAAUAUGUGUUUGAAAAGGCCCCAAUGCGGCCGACAACCCAAGAAGUUUUCGCACAGAGACACAAAAGCGGCGAGAUAGGCAAUAGAAUUGUGUGUCAAGUGAUGGAGCUGAGCCCCGAAGAAGUUCAGAAACCCCCGAAAGAAGAGAUGCAGCGGCAAAGAAAACCCACGAUCGACAUGAGUCGCUAGGAGGACACACUCAACCUCCUGAGGCUGCGGCUGCCACUCCGUCCCCGGAAGCCUCGCUGCUCCGUGCUCGAUCAGCCCCUCGUUGGCCAGGUCGUCGAGAUCCUUCUGGGUGAUGGUUGAACAGAUCCAAUCCCCUUGGAUCCAACCUUGUGGCAGGCGGGACCGCGACGAGGAUCCACCCCGACUGGUCGCUCUCCCCUUCGCCUGCGCCGUCGCCUUCUUCGCCCGCUCCAAAGCCGUCGUUUUCUCCUUCACCAUUGUUGCCGACGAGGCUGGAACGGAGCAGUGGCGCUGGGCAAUUGGCGAGCACAGCGGAUGGAUCUAGAGACGAGGGAGGGGAAAAUGAGGAGGCACUAUUCAAAAAACCUCCGCCCGGUUCCUUAUAUGGAGUCACUUCCGAGUGGCUGACAGGUAGGCCCAGGCAAUACUGUCAAAUCCCAAAACAAUCGCGCAGGCGAUAUGUGGCGAAAAAGACGGUGCGGGAAUCGAGGCGUCCCUGCCUUAUCCCAUCCGAGUACCGCGGUCUUCUCUGCUUCGCGCGCUUCCCAAAAUUCAGAUCCCACUAAAUCCGCUAACCGCAGGAUAACUUGUCAGACGGAAGAUCUCCUGCGAUCCGUCGCUCGGAAAUCUCCAAGUCCGUAAAGUUCACUCGACAGAUAUAAAGAAUGGAUCAAGGCGACUGAAAGAAAGUUGACAUCCUCACUUGAAAGUCAUUGAUCCAGAGCAAAACACCUUUACAACACCAGAAAGCAGGUCGGAAAGAUUGCCAACUCCUUCCUCACUCAAACCUCGAUCCAUUCGGGAGCUAAUGAUGAAGUUAUGUACCCAGGGUAGGGUCAUGGACCUGUCCAAGGUACCCUCCCCAAGGACAUCUUUUAGAAGAAGCCGUCUUCCAGUCGACCAAGAGGUACUCCACUCGAGGGACUAGAGGACGCUCGACAAACCUGAAGACACUCGACCAUGAAGACUUACUCGACCGCCAGGAGUUCAAGAUCUACUCUGUAUCCAAAUGGUCUGUAAUUAAGUAGUCUUUAUGGUCAUGAUGACACUUUAUGUAGGGCGUUACCAGUAACGCCAGGCUUUAAUGUACUUAAAACUCUCCGCUACGUGGGUUGGCUGGGGUCUUGGCAUCCUCUAUAUAAGCCACCCCUCCACUAGCAGAAGGGUUCGCACCCCUGUAACUCUCACACAUAUAAUCCAGUCGACCGCCUCCGGGCUCCGAGAUGUAGGGCUGUUACUUCCUCUUAGAAGGGCCUGAACUCGUAAAACACUUGUGUGCACAACUGCUCCAUAGCUAGGAUCUUGCCUCUCCAUACCUACCCCCUAUUCUACUGUCAGACUUAGAACCACGACAACUGCUUCAGCUGGUCGCUCAAGGGCACCGGGUGUCCGGCCUCAGCAUACUGAGACCAGAACACCUUCUCCGUCGAGCUCCCCUCCUCGGCCCGGUAGAAUGCGGUAGCGUCGGACACACUGCGGGGCAGAUCUGCGAAUGCUCCUGGAGAGCUCCGGAUUCGGGUAAGUAACAAGUAAUUCACUUUCAUGUGUUUGCUUUGCAUGAAGAAUGCCUUACCCGCCGCUAUCUUCUUCAUUGCCUCAAUUUCCUGGAGGGCUUUUUGGGCUUCGGCCUUAGCGGCUUUGGCGCUCUCAAGAGCCGAGGUGAGCUCGGACUCUCGAGUCCUUGAGUCACACUCCAAACUCUCAUGUUUUUCCACGAGAGCCUGGAGCUCUUGCCACACUUCCGCCACCCACGCCUCCUGCUUCUCUCGCUCGGUGCGUUCCGCGACCGCAUUGCUUUUGGCCUUGGACACUGCUUCCUUCAGGGACGCCACCUCGUUCGUGGCCCCUGCAAUUCUCAUGUUAUUCCUGCUAUUACCACAUCUUUUAUAUACUUCCAUAAGGUAUUACUUACAUUCCUUGUCCUCGAGCCGCUUUUUGGCAAGGCCGAGCUCGUUCUCGGACCGCUCGAGGCUCUGCUUCAAUGCAUCGAUGUCACAUCCCCAGUUCAGGCCUUGCUUGUUUUUGCUUUAGCAUCCAUGCAUCAUGUUUAAAUUUUUUAUGAAACUUGAAAUGGGGGCUGAUAAACCCUAGCAACUAACGAAUUCAACUAGGGUCAAAAUAAAAUCUUUUUCAAUAAACCCAAAAUACCCUCUGGAAAUGUUCAUGAUUUCUGGUAAAGGUGAAAACCUCAGCAAAAAAUGAUGCACAUAUUUCUAGGCCAUUUUGGAUUUUUGAAUUAAAUCAUUACUUAUUUGCAUUUGGGUAUUUAAAUACUAUAAAAUAUUUUAAAUGCUCAAAUAAUCCCAAACUGAAAUGUUUACUGUAGGAUAUAUUCUAACAGUGGUCAUGAGCAGUUGCAUGAUUUUGGGAUUGAUUUAGUAUUUUUAAUAAAGCCACAAAGCUGCAGAAAAAUAGAAAACAGGAAAAGAGAGAUAGAGAGAGAAGUACCUGACGCUCACCUCGCAGCCCACCUGGCCCAACUCCAGCGGCCCAGCCCACCGUAGCCGCCACCGUCUUCAACCUCCUGCCAGUAGGCAGGAGGGCGUGUGGCCACCGCGCGCCGGCACGCGCCCAAGCCACCUCCUGCUUCCGCCGCUUCUGGAGCCAGCCCCGAGUGCCACACACUCCCCCUCGCCCCCCUGCACCUCUCCUUUCUCCCCCUGGACCCCAUCCCUUCUUCUGCUCCCCUCUUGCGCGCACCACCGAGCGGAGCUCGUCGUUAUCGUCGCCGUACCCGUGGCCACCGGCCACCCCUCGCCCUGCCGCUGCGCCCAGACGCCCCGCCUCGUCCCCCUCUUCCUCCUCACCAAGACGGAAGGCGCCGGAAGCCCUGGGUGCCGCUAGCUCCGCCGUUCCCCUCCUCGGCCACGGAGAAUCGCCGCCGUCGAUAUGCCGCCGUCUCCGCCUCCCCGAGCUCGCUAAGACCGUCUCUGACCCCGCUGUGAGCUCCGCCUUCUUCUCCCCUGUUCCCCGUGCCCGUACGCACCCUCUAGCCACCCUAGUCACCGGAGCCGAACGCUCCCCGCCGCCGGCCAUGGCGCCGCCGUAGCUAGAGCGCACCCACGAUGCAUUCGAGCCUACCCCCGUGCUCAGCGAGUCCGCAGGACUCCGUAGCAACCCGCAGCUCGUCCUCCCGUGCACCAAAACACCGUGUCCGAGCGUGCCCGAACUCCGGCUGCCGCAGAAGUGCUCGCCGUCGUUAACUCCGGCCACCCCAGCACCAAACACCGCCACCAUUGGAUGCACCACAUCGCCAGCUACUCAUAGCGCCCACCCGCGCAUCAAACCGUGGCCGGAGCAGCGUUUCCGACGCUCUCCGUCGUCUCAGCCUCGCCGGCGACUCGACGCCGACAGGUUUGACCUGCUGACCAUUGACUGGGUGGGCCCAGUUUGACCCCCUGGGUCACUGACAUGUGGGCCACCCUUGUUAAUUUUAGUUAGGUUAGUUUAGUGCUAAUUAACCUAGAUUAGUGACUAACCUAACACUAACUAACUCUGUUUUAGUUAGUCAACUAACCACUAACACGUGGGACCCACAGGUCAGGUUUGACCUGGACCUGGCGUGUUGACUCUGCUGACGUCACCCCGACAUCAUGCUGACGCAAUUAACAAUUUUUUGGAUUUAAAAUAAAUCCAGGAAAUUCCAGAAAAUGUCCUAAACUUCUAAAAAUCAUAGAAAAUCAACCGUAGCUCAGAAUGAAAUAAUUUAUAUAUGAAAGAUGAUCAGAAAAAUCCAAUCUAUCCAUCUGUACCAUUCUCAUGCAUGUUAGAACAACUUAUAGCUGCUUUUUAGCACAAGUCAUAUAAAUGGCAUUUGAAUUUCACAUAUGGAGUUUGGAUUUGAACUUAGGGUUCGAACCAACUUCAUUUAACUUUGUUGCUAGCUGCAUUAGCUCAAAACCACAGCAUAUUGCCAUGUCACAUUCAUGCAUCAUAUUGUUGCAUUGCAUUGAUUGUGUUCUCCCUUGUUUGCCGGUAUUUGUCCCCUCUCAGUAGACGACGUUCCGACGAUGAGUUCGAUGACACCGAUGAAGAACUAUAUUAUCUUCAGAAGUGCCAGGCAAGCAAAACCCCCUUGUUCAUUCCGAUACAAUCCCACUCUCUCGCUCCUGCUCUCUUUUACUGCAUUAGGACAACACCGGUUCAACUGUUACUUGCUACGGUAGCUGAACCCCUUUAUCCUUUGCAUGACCUGUCAUUGCCACAGUAAAUAGAUGAAGCCCACUAGCAUGAGUAGGAGUUGUUUGAGCCCUGAUGUGCCUACUCAUUCAUGCUUCUUUGUCAUGCCUGUUAUUGCUUAGAGUUGAGUCAGGUCUGAUUCAUCGGGGAUGAAUUGGAGGUGUGUGAACAUGUCCUACUGUGUGUGAGCUAAGUGUGUGAACACGAUUUGGUAAAGGUAGCGGUGAGAGGCCAUGUAGGAGUACAUGGUGGGUUGUCUCAUUGCAGCCGUCCUCAGGAACUGAGUUCUGUGUUUGUGAUCCAUGAAUAGCUACUACCACACAUUGGGAUCCUUAAUUGACUCUCUCGACUUAUUAAUCAACAUGAUCUCUAUCCAGGAGUUGCAACUAGUUUCUGGUGUUUGUAGGUAGUGUUAGUAGUCUACCAAGUGGCACCCAGUACAGGUGGGCUUGGGACAGAGUAGGCACAGUGGCCUGGUGUACCAAGUGGCACCCGGAUGGUGGGCUUGGGAACCCUACACACAUCGUUUGGGGCCGUGAGCGACACCCCGGCCGGAUCUCCUUGCGGAUGGAACCCGAAUAGGUCAUAAACCUGGACGAGAGACUUGUGUGGUUAGUCAGGUCGUGGCCGACACCCUCGCUGGGCUUCCGCUUGAAGGUUGCCGAGUACAUGUCGUGUAAAUGGCGGUAAGUGGUAGGAGCGUGUGUGAAGAAGUACACCCUUGCAGGGUUAAUAUGAUCUAUUCGAAUAGCCGUGUCCGCGAUAAAGGACUUCUGGGUUGCCUGUACAGUUCAUAGACAAGUGAAAGUGGAUACUCUAAAAUACGCAAGAUAAGCGUGAGUGCUAUGGAUGGCGUUCUCGUAGGGAGACGGGAGCGGAUCCAUAGUGGUGUAUUGAUAUGGUGAAUAUGUGGACUCAUGUGCGCCACCUCAAAAGAGUUACUUGCAGUCGUAGUUCAGGUUAGCCACCGAGUCAAAGCUGGCUUGCUGCAGUUAAACCCCACCAUCCCCUUGUUGAUAAUGAUGCAUAUGUAGUUAGAUCUGAUGUAAGUCUUGCUGGGUACAUUUGUACUCACGUUGCUUAAUUUUUGUUUUUGCAGAGAGACUUCAGUCUCGCUAGUAGUACCACGUGGACUUCGACGUUUAGCUUGUUACCUCAGCUACGAUCUUGUGCCUUCGGCAGGAUCUGGUAGACAGUCAGGCUUCUC
RNAcentral lists this long non-coding RNA (19278 nucleotides) under Triticum aestivum (bread wheat). Its description in RNAcentral is "long non-coding RNA (TAES_LNC016308)". Lineage: Eukaryota; Viridiplantae; Streptophyta; Magnoliopsida; Poales; Poaceae. The record is from RNAcentral.